Molecule: long non-coding RNA, 1125 nt
Organism: Pseudophryne corroboree (corroboree frog)
Lineage: Eukaryota; Metazoa; Chordata; Amphibia; Anura; Myobatrachidae
Exons: 3
Source: RefSeq, a predicted model, not a curated record
GCCGUCUUCAGAGACAGUUGGCAGUUGGGCAGUAGCCAUCUUAGGAGGACUCAGAGCAGCAACUUGAAGCAGAGGCAGCUGCUGGUGUGUGACAGGAGUGCUGUACAGCUUAUGAAAAGCCAGAUUCUAUUCCCGGUGACCUGAGAUCUUCAUUGUAGCAGCCAAUCAGUAAUACCAGCCUCCUGUGAGGAUCCCACUGCUUCUAAUGGUGCUGGCUGACAGGCAUCUGACAGAGCAGAACAGUGAUGGGCACUACUGACUGUGUAGCUGGAAACUAGGCCACGCAGCCUACCCUCCCUUUUGAAGGACAGCCCUGGAGGUAGCCCUGCUUUGGAGUAACAGACGGUGGGAAGAGCAGAGACAGUGUCUUGCUGCAGCUGCAGACAGAGGCAGAGCACAAAGGCAGGUGGCAGGACCUGCAGAAGAAGGUCCCUCCCCCUCUCAACCACCCUCCCCCAUCAAUCAGCCUCCUCUUCCUCCCCCUCUCAAACACCCUCCUCCAUCAAUCUGCCUCCUCCUCCUCCCCCCAUCAAUCUGCCUCCCCCUCUCAACCACCCUCCCCACAUCAAACAUACUCCCACUCUCAACCACCCUCACCCCAUCAAUCUGCCUCCUCCUCCUCUCAAGCACCCUCCACCCAUCAAUCUGCCUCAUCCUCUCAAGCACCAGCCCAGCAUCAUUCAGCCACCUCCUCCUCCUCUCAACCACCCCCGCCCAUCAAAACACCUUUGACAUUCCCACACCCUCACAAUCGGAUCCUCCUACCCCCAUCCAACCCCCAACACCCUUACAAGACCCUUCCCCCAUCCAAACUACCACACCCUCUCCAGACCCUUCCCCCAUCCAAACUACCACCCCCUUUCAAGACCCUUCCCCCAUCCAAAGUGAAGCACCCCCUUCGGAUGUGGACGCAGGAGAGUGGGCAGCUGAGGCCCCGGAGGGAGUUGAGGGUGCUUUUCCGCCGUUGGUGAGAAAUGCUGCAGAUGGAGAUCACAAUGCAGAAUUGAGGAGAGUGGUGGUUGUUAUGAAGCAGCAUUGCAGGGGACUUCUGGAGGCGAUUGUUAGCCUGGGCAAAAUGAUUUGACAUUUUUUCAUUAGAACCCAUAAAAUAAAAAAUAAAAAAAA